RNAcentral lists this non-coding RNA (24 nucleotides) under Arabidopsis thaliana (thale cress). The record is from RNAcentral. Lineage: Eukaryota; Viridiplantae; Streptophyta; Magnoliopsida; Brassicales; Brassicaceae.
UCAAAUACAAGAGAAAGGGAUGAU